UGCAUGUCUAGCAUGCGAGUCAUUGUAGCAUACAAGGCAUACGGCUCAGUAACGCGUAGUCAACCUAACCUAUGGACGGGAAUAACCUCGGGAAACUGAGAAUAAUGCCCGAUAGAACACUAUACCUGGAAUGGUUUGUGUUCCAAAUGAUUUAUCGCCAUAGGAUGGGACUGCGGCCUAUCAGUUUGUUGGUGAGGUAAUGGCCCACCAAGACUAUUACAGGUACGGGCUCUGAGAGGAGUAGCCCGGAGAUGGGUACUGAGACACGGACCCAGGCCCUAUGGGGCGCAGCAGGCGAGAAAACUUUGCAAUGUGCGAAAGCACGACAAGGUUAAUCCGAGUGAUUUGUGCUAAACGAAUCUUUUGUUAGUCCUAGAAACACUAACGAAUAAGGGGUGGGCAAGUUCUGGUGUCAGCCGCCGCGGUAAAACCAGCACCUCAAGUGGUCAGGAUGAUUAUUGGGCCUAAAGCAUCCGUAGCCGGCUCUGUAAGUUUUCGGUUAAAUCUGUACGCUUAACGUACAGGCUGCCGGGAAUACUGCAGAGCUAGGGAGUGGGAGAGGUAGACGGUACUCGGUAGGAAGUGGUAAAAUGCUUUGAUCUAUCGAUGACCACCUGUGGCGAAGGCGGUCUACCAGAACACGUCCGACGGUGAGGGAUGAAAGCUGGGGGAGCAAACCGGGAUUAGAUACCCGGUAGUCCAGCUGUAACUAUGCAAACUCAGUGAUGCAUACUGUGUGAUGCAGUGCUGCAGGAAAGCCGG
This 762-nucleotide ribosomal RNA is filed under the name uncultured archaeon. RNAcentral's name for it is "bacterial SSU rRNA". It matches the Rfam family "Archaeal small subunit ribosomal RNA", at positions 38 to 815 of the family's 1478-position model. The record is from RNAcentral.